UCUUAGCUCAGUUGGCUAGAGCGCCUGCUUUGCACGCAGGAGGUCAUGGGUUCGACUCCCAUAGAGUC
RNAcentral lists this transfer RNA (68 nucleotides) under human oral metagenome. It matches the Rfam family "tRNA", at positions 5 to 66 of the family's 71-position model. Rfam says of the family: Transfer RNA (tRNA) molecules are approximately 80 nucleotides in length. Their secondary structure includes four short double-helical elements and three loops (D, anti-codon, and T loops). Further hydrogen bonds mediate the characteristic L-shaped molecular structure. tRNAs have two regions of fundamental functional importance: the anti-codon, which is responsible for specific mRNA codon recognition, and the 3' end, to which the tRNAs corresponding amino acid is attached (by aminoacyl-tRNA synthetases). tRNAs cope with the degeneracy of the genetic code in two manners: having more than one tRNA (with a specific anti-codon) for a particular amino acid; and 'wobble' base-pairing, i.e. permitting non-standard base-pairing at the 3rd anti-codon position. The record is from RNAcentral.